This 138-nucleotide ribosomal RNA is filed under the name uncultured bacterium. RNAcentral describes it as "partial 16S ribosomal RNA". It matches the Rfam family "Bacterial small subunit ribosomal RNA", at positions 355 to 509 of the family's 1533-position model. The record is from RNAcentral.
UGGGGAAUAUUGCACAAUGGGCGAAAGCCUGAUGCAGCAACGCCGCGUGAGCGAUGAAGGCCCUCGGGUCGUAAAGCUCUGUCCUCAAGGAAGAUAAUGACGGGUACUUGAGGAGGAAGCCCCGGCUAACUACGUGCC